ACGAACGCUGGCGGCGUGCUUAACACCUGCAAGUCGAACGCUGAAGCUUGGUGCUUGCACUGGGUGGAUGAGUGGCGAACGGGUGAGUAAUACGUGAGUAACCUGCCCUUGACUCUGGGAUAAGCCUGGGAAACUGGGUCUAAUACUGGAUACGACAUGCCACUGCAUGGUGGUGUGUGGAAAGGGUUUUACUGGUUUUGGAUGGGCUCACGGCCUAUCAGCUUGUUGGUGGGGUAAUGGCCUACAAAGGCGACGACGGGUAGCCGGCCUGAGAGGGUGACCGGCCACACUGGGACUGAGACACGGCCCAGACUCCUACGGGAGGCAGCAGUGGGGAAUAUUGCACAAUGGGCGGAAGCCUGAUGCAGCGACGCCGCGUGAGGGAUGACGGCCUUCGGGUUGUAAACCUCUUUCAGCACGGAAGAAGCGAGAGUGACGGUACGUGCAGAAGAAGCACCGGCUAACUACGU
Molecule: ribosomal RNA, 470 nt
Filed under: uncultured bacterium
Lineage: Bacteria
Description: partial 16S ribosomal RNA
Rfam family: Bacterial small subunit ribosomal RNA
Source: RNAcentral